This 435-nucleotide ribosomal RNA is filed under the name uncultured bacterium. RNAcentral's name for it is "partial 16S ribosomal RNA". It matches the Rfam family "Bacterial small subunit ribosomal RNA", at positions 29 to 507 of the family's 1533-position model. The record is from RNAcentral.
AACGAACGCUGGCGGCAGGCUUAACACAUGCAAGUCGAACGCAUGCCUUCGGGCAUGAGUGGCAGACGGGUGAGUAACGCGUGGGAACCUACCCCUUGGUACGGGAUAGCUCCGGGAAACUGGAGAUAAUACCGUAUGUGUCCUGAGGGACAAAGAUUCAUCGCCAAGGGAUGGGCCCGCGUCGGAUUAGCUAGUUGGUGGGGUAACGGCCUACCAAGGCGACGAUCCGUAGCUGGUCUAAGAGGAUGAUCAGCCACAUUGGGACUGAGACACGGCCCAAACUCCUACGGGAGGCAGCAGUGGGGAAUAUUGGACAAUGAGCGCAAGCCUGAUCCAGCCAUGCCGCGUGAGUGAUGAAGGCCCUAGGGUUGUAAAGCUCUUUCACCGGUGACGAUAAUGACGGUAACCGGAGAAGAAGCCCCGGCUAACUUCGUG